RNAcentral lists this long non-coding RNA (606 nucleotides) under Equus asinus (donkey). Its description in RNAcentral is "lncRNA (ENSEASG00005038670.1)". Lineage: Eukaryota; Metazoa; Chordata; Mammalia; Perissodactyla; Equidae. The record is from RNAcentral.
AGAUACAUGCAGAAUGGGGAGGGGCCCUUUCCCAAAGGGAAGGGAUGGCUUUUAAUAGUAAAAAAGUGAGAAAAGAGUUGCCGAGAAGACAAUAGGACAGAUUCAUGCUAGAGAUAAUCAUUUAUAACUGAUCUAGCUAGAAUUUUACUGUCAUUGUAUAGAUUAAAAUAGAGCUUUGAAAUUUUAUGUAUCAAGUUCUUCAUUCCCUAUGAGAGUAUGUUUGUCACGUCAUUACUUCUGCACAGGUCAAGGAUGUGGUAGGAGCUUCUGCUUUUUGGAUGAGAAGCAAACAACCGUGAUAAACUUCAGGUCUGUCCUUCCAUCACCUUGACAUCAGCUUUUCCUCCAUCUAUGGAAAGUUCCAUUGUGUCCCUGUCCAGUGUGACAAGGCACUAGAAAUCAGAGCUGCUCUGUCUGUUCUCUGUGCCAGUCAUUUCCUUUCUGUUCCUGGCGCUCGUCUAAGUGCUGGAAUGUGGAUGUGAUGGCUGGAGCUCCAGCAACUGUUUUAUGACCUUGAGUAUGGAAUUCACACUUGAAGAAGCCACAAACUGAGAAUGGGAGAACAGAAAGAGAAAAGCAUCUUGAUUCCCUGAUGAUUUCAUGGAG